GUCCCCUUCCCCGCAUCUUGCUGCCUCUCCCUCCAACACUGGCGCCCCCCGCCCGCAGCGGCUACCCUCCAGCUUCGGCCAUGCCCGCCGCGAUUGCUGCUUGCUGCUGGCCACACUCUCUUGCCUGCUCGCUCUAAUAGGCUGCUCCACACCUCUGUGCUUUUUACUCGUUUUUCCUCUUCCCCUAAAUAUGUCCGCUCCUGCGUGGAAUACUCUCAGUUCGUGCAAUUCGAUUUUCCUCUUUCCCCAAAUUCGUCUGGUCCAGCGAUCAAUUUACUCGUUUUUCCUCUUUCCCCAAAUUCGUCUGAUCCAAAUCAUCAUGCCAGUGUAUGCAAUUUUCUCCUUCUCCUUCGGAUCCUAGAUCCAACAGUGGCUGUGCUGCUUGUUAUUUUUCAAGGAGGCUUGUCGAUAAUCCCAAAUACUACCUAUAUAAACAGGUAAAUCUCCGCCUAGUCGGCGGACAGAAGCCCAACAUGAAGGCCCAGUUCGGUGUGAUCUUUUUUCUGGCAGGAAGACGAAUCGCCUGGGGCGGCCUGAGCCGGUGGGCGUGAAGGAGCGAGGGUGGGGCGGAGUCCAGCGGCGGCGAGCAGGUCGGGCGCAUCGCGCCCCGCGGUAGAGUUCUCUGCUCCCUCAUUCGGCUACAGGAGGGAAAAAGGAAAACUAAAUGAACCGGUACCAUGGCAACUUAAUGUAUGCGACUUGGUGGAAGGGCAAAACCGUCCAAAAAAAAGCGUUGACGAAAAUUUUGGCAGAAA
Lolium perenne is the source of this 755-nucleotide long non-coding RNA. RefSeq lists it as uncharacterized. The record is from RefSeq and is a predicted model, not a curated record. Lineage: Eukaryota; Viridiplantae; Streptophyta; Magnoliopsida; Poales; Poaceae.